This 428-nucleotide ribosomal RNA is filed under the name uncultured bacterium. Its description in RNAcentral is "bacterial SSU rRNA". It matches the Rfam family "Bacterial small subunit ribosomal RNA", at positions 355 to 776 of the family's 1533-position model. The record is from RNAcentral.
UGGGGAAUAUUGCGCAAUGGGCGAAAGCCUGACGCAGCGACGCCGCGUGUGGGAUGAAGGUCUUCGGAUCGUAGACCACUGUCAGAGGGGACGAAUGCCGGGCGUUAACUGCGACCCGGCUUGACGGUACCCUCGGAGGAAGCACCGGCUAACUCUGUGCCAGCAGCCGCGGUAAUACAGAGGGUGCGAGCGUUGUCCGGAAUCACUGGGCGUAAAGGGCGUGUAGGUGGCUUGGUAAGCCGCGUGUGAAAUCCCGGGGCUCAACCCCGGAACGGCACGCGGGACUGUCAGGCUAGAGCAUGGUAGAGGCGAGUGGAAUUCCUGGUGUAGCGGUGGAAUGCGUAGAGAUCAGGAAGAACACCGGUGGCGAAGGCGGCUCGCUGGGCCAUUGCUGACACUGAGGCGCGAAAGCGUGGGGAGCAAACAGG